Pelobates cultripes (western spadefoot toad) is the source of this 72-nucleotide non-coding RNA. Lineage: Eukaryota; Metazoa; Chordata; Amphibia; Anura; Pelobatidae. The record is from the annotation of a GenBank genome assembly.
UACCGGGGUAUUCCAGGCACCAUAACCACUACAUAGUGUUGUAGUGGUUAUGGUGCUUGGAGUGUUCCUUUU